Long non-coding RNA from Esox lucius (northern pike), 1003 nucleotides. Lineage: Eukaryota; Metazoa; Chordata; Actinopteri; Esociformes; Esocidae. The record is from Ensembl.
CUGGGGUAUAUGGCUCAGCAUCCAUCUGCAUGGGACCGGGAUCAGGUUUCCUUAUUGUGGACUCCAGAGAUAGAUAUAAACAAAGAACCGAUACACUUUAAACACAAAAGAUCUUAACAUCAGGAAUUCAAUUAAUACCGCCGUAGUGCAAUAUUAUAUUUAUUUCUUAUAGUAAGUUUUGGUUGCCAUACAAGAAUUAUUGAGGAUUUUCAGGGGGAAGAGCGUAGUUACAAGGAACUUCUCUUUUUCAUUUUGAUAAUUAGAUAGUUGACUCUAAGAGGAUCUGGUAGCACAAAAUUACAUCAAAGAGAACAUGAACACAAGUUAUUAUACACAAAAUAGUUGGAAACAUCUUGGUCUCCACGUAGAAUAAAACAAAUUUGAAAUAAAUAAUAAUCAACCAAAGAUAGAAAAUAAAAAUGUAUCAAAAAAGUUGCCAAUUGUUAGGUGAAGGACUGUGACAUGAAAGAGGGUGGGGGUACUGAGCUAUGCGAGUCCUUAUGUAACAUUACCUUAUAGUCACACGGUGAUGAUCUGUAUAGCAUCUUACUACUACUCAGCUCUACAAUUCCACAUACAAAUUAGCUUGGUGAUAUGUCCUUUUUUCUCCAUGAAGUCAACAAUCACAACUAUCUUUUUUAAAGUCUAUUUAAGUUCAUCCUAAAAAUGUAAUCAGGACAGUUUUCAAUCCAGUGGCUUGUGAGGAUAUGCAUACAUUUACAAUGUGCCCCAUUUCUGUAAUUUAUACACACAUUAUACACAGAGUAAGCAAUUGGAAUCUUCAAAAAAUACAAUAUUCAAGAUAGGCAGGUGAUGGCCAGAGGAUUACAUUUCUUUCAACUGGACAAAUGUCUUUCCAAUACAUCCUAGUGUUCGUAACAUCAACAUGUGAUAAUAUAUCAUGAUAAUUAAUCUUAAACUGGGAAAAAUCACAACCAAGGAGAUCCACUCAUCAUAAAUAUUGCUUCUUAGUUACCUCAUAAAUCUGAUAACAUGAAUAUUU